This 253-nucleotide ribosomal RNA is filed under the name uncultured bacterium. RNAcentral's name for it is "partial 16S ribosomal RNA". It matches the Rfam family "Bacterial small subunit ribosomal RNA", at positions 524 to 776 of the family's 1533-position model. The record is from RNAcentral.
UACAGAGGUCUCAAGCGUUGUUCGGAUUCACUGGGCGUAAAGGGUGCGUAGGUGGCUUGAAAAGUUUGAUGUGAAAGCUCAGGGCUUAACCCUGAAAUGGCAUUGAAUACUGUCGAGCUGGAGGUUUGGAGGGGGGACUGGAAUUCUUGGUGUAGCAGUGAAAUGCGUAGAUAUCAAGAGGAACACCAGUGGCGAAGGCGAGUCCCUGGACAACACCUGACACUGAGGCACGAAAGCUAGGGGAGCAAACAGG